CUAAAAACCUAGCCCAACAAACAUGAAUUUUACUAAAUUAACUAAACCCCUUUAACAAACCAUUUUAACAUUCUAGUAAAGGAGAUUGAAAAACUUAUUUGGAGCUAUAAAAACAGUACCGCAAGGGAACGGUGAAAUAUUAUGAAAAACUUCAAGCAGCAAAAAGUAAAGAUUACCUCUUGUACCUUUCGCAUCAUGGUUUAACUAGUUUAACCAAGCAAAACGUAUUUAAGUUUGACUUCCCGAAACUAAGUGAGCUACUUCAGGGCAGCUAGAAGAGCAAACCCGUCUCUGUAGCAAAAGAGUGGGACGACCCUCAAGUAGUGGUGACAGACCUAACGAACUUAGUGAUAGCUGGUUGCUCAAGAAACGGAUUUAAGUCCAACCUGAAAGUUUUAUAACCUAAGUUCAUCAAAACAAUCACCUAGCUUUCAGCGUAAUUCAAAUAAGGUACAGCCUAUUUGAAACAGGAUACAACCUAGCCUAGUGGAUAAGAUCAGCCUAACAUACAAUCAAGUGGGCCUAAAAGCAGCCACCUUUAAUACAGCGUCAAAGCUAAAUUGUAACCGAGCCCAAUUACUUAACCCAUAUCUUAAUCCCCUGCCAAUACUGAGUAAUUCUAUAAUAUUAUAGAAAUUUUUAUGUUAAAACUAGUAACAAGAAGAAGAUUCUUCUCUUGAAUGUACAUAUAAAUCAGAAAAGACAAGCUACUGAUACUUAACACCUCUGAGCAUAAAGUAGUAACUAACCAAGAAAACUCUACUUUUACUGGUGUUAAUCUAACACAAGAACAUUCUAAGAAAGA
This 805-nucleotide ribosomal RNA is filed under the name Bufo bufo (common toad). RNAcentral's name for it is "partial 16S ribosomal RNA". The stretch from base 200 to 649 matches the Rfam family "Bacterial large subunit ribosomal RNA", at positions 619 to 1301 of the family's 2925-position model. The record is from RNAcentral. Lineage: Eukaryota; Metazoa; Chordata; Amphibia; Anura; Bufonidae.